Molecule: unclassified non-coding RNA, 489 nt
Filed under: Fasciola sp. Dam5
Lineage: Eukaryota; Metazoa; Platyhelminthes; Trematoda; Plagiorchiida; Fasciolidae
Description: partial contains 18S rRNA, ITS1
Rfam family: Eukaryotic small subunit ribosomal RNA (bases 1-154)
Source: RNAcentral
ACCGAUUGAAUGGUUUAGCAAGGUCCUCGGAUUGGUGCCAUUGYAGUGGCUUCGGCCGCUCGACCGGUGCUGAGAAGACGACCAAACUUGAUCAUUUAGAGGAAGUAAAAGUCGUAACAAGGUUUCCGUAGGUGAACCUGCGGAAGGAUCAUUACCUGAAAAUCUACUCUYACACAAGCGAUACACGUGUGACCGUCAUGUCAUGCGAUAAAAAUUUGCGGACGGCUAUGCCUGGCUCAUUGAGGUCACAGCAUAUCCGAWCACUGAUGGGGUGCCUACCUGUAUGAUACUCCGAUGGUAUGCUUGCGUCUCUCGGGGCGCUUGUCCAAGCCAGGAGAACGGGUUGUACUGCCAYGAUUGGUAGUGCUAGGCUUAAAGAGGAGAUUUGGGCUACGGCCCUGCUCCCGCCCUAUGAACUGUUUCAUUACUACAWUUACACUGUUAAAGUGGUAYUGAAUGGCUUGCCAUUCUUUGCCAUUGCCCUCGCAU